CCGGAUUGGAAGCCCCAAGGAUUCUGAGAGCCCCGCUAAUCUGGGGAUGACUCCUAGGAGUAGAAGACGGUCCAUCUUAGUUGUCACGAGGAUCUCACUUCUUGGAAUCCGGCGGCGUUCACGUGUGUGCUCCAGAGAAGGGCGCCAGAGGGUAUUCCCUGAAAGUGAAAGGUCGGCGAAAGAGGAGUAAAGACGGCGAGACGCGUCCACGCAGGGGGAGUCUGUGCGGUUUGGAGGAACGCGCCAAUGUCUGCACUCAUGAGGAGCCCCCAAGGGCGGUUUUAAGAGGGUGAAGCAGGACCGGGCGCAGUGACUUACGCCUGUAAUCUAAGUGCUUUGGAAGGCCUAGGCAGGAGGAUCUCGAGCCCAGGAGUUCGAGAUUAGCCUGAGACCUCAUCGCUACCAAAAUAAAUAAAGUAGGCAUCCAUUUGUGUAAAACAAACCAUAUAUACACACAUAUAUACAUAUAUAAACAUUUGUAUAUAUAGGUAUAGGCAUAGUUAUCUAUACCUUGUAAACCAAAAAUAAAAUUGUAAGCCUCCCCAACCAACUGAA
Molecule: long non-coding RNA, 555 nt
Filed under: Homo sapiens (human)
Lineage: Eukaryota; Metazoa; Chordata; Mammalia; Primates; Hominidae
Description: HSALNT0197877
Source: RNAcentral